CAGCGGUCAUGGACGUGUAGACACGAACUACAUGCCAUGGUCCACAUCUCAACUAGGUUGGCGGAGUUUGACUGAGACGUAACGUGAAUAUGGAACCAUGAAGUUUUCUGUUUUCCACAAUAGCAACUACUUAGGACUACAAAAGCCCCUGGCCAUACAGAACAUAGGACCUUCUGACUGCUAAUUUGGACUCCAUGGCUGACGCACCCUGAGAAUGUCAGCAAAUGUCCAGUCUCGCCACAAGAAAAUGAAAGCACCAAGUUUGAGUCAGUUUUUUUGUAUUUUGAGUCAGUUUUAUGACAGUGAUUUCAAGUGUUGCUCAGUUUUAUAUGUCCUGAACAUCCUGAGAAGGUAGUGAUUGCAACUGUUAAUGGGCAGAGUUGAUGUAUGUAUUCUUUACUGUUCUGAAAGUUGAAGAAAGUGGACAGUGGAGGAUUUUUUUCUUCCUCAAUGAACUUAUGCCUCUUAAAUCAAUGAGGAAGUGAAAGCAUCAAUCUUUUUAAUUUUGUAAUAGAGCCCAAUUGAUGGAAUUACAGAAUUAGAAGGGAAAAGUCAACUGUAACACUAUUAGUUUCCUUACUUUUGAGCUUUAUAAUGGUUUCUGAACUCCCUUGAUGUAUG
Molecule: long non-coding RNA, 621 nt
Organism: Solea solea (common sole)
Lineage: Eukaryota; Metazoa; Chordata; Actinopteri; Pleuronectiformes; Soleidae
Exons: 3
Source: RefSeq, a predicted model, not a curated record